GACUGGUCCCAGUGCAGUGUUGUUGCCAACUGAUCACAGCCAGUUACAGAUUUCUUGGUUCCUUCUCCAGUCCCCCUGCUUCACUUGACUGGCCUAAA
Unclassified non-coding RNA from Cebus imitator (Panamanian white-faced capuchin), 98 nucleotides. It matches the Rfam family "Y RNA". From Rfam's summary of the family: Y RNAs are components of the Ro ribonucleoprotein particle (Ro RNP), in association with Ro60 and La proteins. The Y RNAs and Ro60 and La proteins are well conserved, but the function of the Ro RNP is not known. In humans the RNA component can be one of four small RNAs -- hY1, hY3, hY4 and hY5. The record is from Ensembl. Lineage: Eukaryota; Metazoa; Chordata; Mammalia; Primates; Cebidae.